GACGAACGCUGGCGGCGUGCUUAACACAUGCAAGUCGAACGGUAAGGCCCCUUCGGGGGUACACGAGUGGCGAACGGGUGAGUAACACGUGAGCAACCUGCCCUUGACUCCGGAAUAACAGCUGGAAACAGCUGCUAAUACCAGAUACGACUCAGUGCGACAUCGCAUCGAGUGGAAAGCCCUGGCGGUCAAGGAUGGGCUCGCGGCCUAUCAGCUUGUUGGNGAGGUAACGGCUCACCAAGGCUUCGACGGGUAGCCGGCCUGAGAGGGCGACCGGCCACACUGGGACUGAGAUACGGCCCAGACUCCUACGGGAGGCAGCAGUGGGGAAUCUUGCGCAAUGGCCUAACGGCUGACGCAGCGACGCCGCGUGAGGGAUGAAGCUCUUCGGAGUGUAAACCUCUGUUGAUCGGGACGAAUGGCGGAUUAUUCCGACUUGACGGUACCGAUUGAGGAAGCACCGGCUAACUCCGUGCC
This 477-nucleotide ribosomal RNA is filed under the name uncultured bacterium. RNAcentral's name for it is "bacterial SSU rRNA". It matches the Rfam family "Bacterial small subunit ribosomal RNA", at positions 28 to 509 of the family's 1533-position model. The record is from RNAcentral.